GCAUCUGAAUCUUUCCCACUCCUUGCGAUACAAUGCUGGACUGGGGACACAUGAUGCAACAGGAAAGCAGAGGAAAUCCAGACAAGCUCCCUUUCACCACAGUGGGACUUGUCUCUACGCCUUUGCAACAUUU
This is a non-coding RNA of Pygoscelis adeliae (Adelie penguin), 133 nucleotides long. The record is from Rfam. Lineage: Eukaryota; Metazoa; Chordata; Aves; Sphenisciformes; Spheniscidae.